CAUGUAGGCGGGAAUCUAAGUCUGUUGUGAAAAUGCGGGGCUCAACCCCGUAUGGCGAUGGAAACUGGAUUUCUUGAGUGCAGGAGAGGAAAGGGGAAUUCCCAGUGUAGCGGUGAAAUGCGUAGAUAUUGGGAGGAACACCAGUGGCGAAGGCGCCUUUCUGGACUGUGUCUGACGCUGAGGCACGAAAGCGUGGGGAGCAAACA
This 206-nucleotide ribosomal RNA is filed under the name uncultured Veillonellaceae bacterium. RNAcentral describes it as "partial 16S ribosomal RNA". It matches the Rfam family "Bacterial small subunit ribosomal RNA", at positions 568 to 774 of the family's 1533-position model. The record is from RNAcentral. Lineage: Bacteria; Bacillati; Bacillota; Negativicutes; Veillonellales; Veillonellaceae.